UGAAUGUUUGUCUAAAUUCUUAGUUUAAGGACAAUCUAAUUAACAAAAUUCUGUAUAAUUAUGGGCAUGGUUCCUUGGAGUGACAGCAGCUGUGUCCAUAGAC
Long non-coding RNA from Thalassophryne amazonica, 103 nucleotides. RefSeq lists it as uncharacterized. The record is from RefSeq and is a predicted model, not a curated record. NCBI's taxonomy places the organism in Eukaryota, Metazoa, Chordata, Actinopteri, Batrachoidiformes, Batrachoididae. The transcript has 3 exons.